Leptinotarsa decemlineata (Colorado potato beetle) is the source of this 393-nucleotide long non-coding RNA. Lineage: Eukaryota; Metazoa; Arthropoda; Insecta; Coleoptera; Chrysomelidae. The record is from RefSeq and is a predicted model, not a curated record.
UUUAUUUUUAUAGAAAAAGAAAACCACAAUAAUCCUUUGUCAAUUACUUAGAUGCGAAUUCGAGAGGCCAGUUAAAAUAAUGAUAUCGUCAUUCAUAUUACGAAUCAGUCAAUUCAGACUACAAUUUUCUUCUUGCGGAUAUUUCAAGAUCAACAGAGCUCUGAUAAUAAAAGUGGCUGGCUCAGUUACCACUUAUUUGGUGAUACUCUUUCAGUUCAACUACUAAGAGCCAAGUUAAAUACCAUUCUCAACUAAAGAACCGUAUCCCAAAGCCUUGAAAAAAACUUUCCAUUACUUGAAAUGAAUGAUGUUUCAAAUUCAAAAAUAAUAAUAGGAUAUUAGUUAAAUAUCGUAGGUAUGUUUUGUCUAUGCAGAGUAGAGUGUACUUGAUUA